CAGCACAUACAAUAAAUCGCAAGUGUGAUCCAGGGAUGCCAUUUCGUGAAACAAAAUUUUCAAAAUUCUCGCCAGUCCAGAAAUGCAAGUCCAGCAGGCGCGGCAGCGGCGGGAAAUAGCAACGCAGCAGCAGUGGCAGCGACGGCAGUGGGGUUGGGAGGUGCAGUAGCCUAAACGGCAGGCGUGGCGGCGGCGGGAAUUAGCAACGCAGCAGCAGUGGCAGCGACGGCGGUGGGGUUGGAGGUGCAGUAGCCUAAACGGCAGGCGCGGCGGCGGUGGGAAUAAGCAACGCAGCAGCAGUGGCAGCGAUGAAGGUGGGGUUGGAAGGUGCAGUAGCCUAAACGGCAGGCGUGGUGGGGGGGGAAAUAGCAAGAGCAGCAGGCGCGGCGGCUGGCGGGAAUUAGCAACGGAGUAGCAGCGGCAGCGAUUGCGUUGGGGCUGGGAGGUGCAGUAGCCUAAAUGGCAGGCGCGGCGGUGGCGGGAAAUAGCAACGCAGCAGCAACGGCAGCGAUGGCGUUGGGGCUGGGAGAUGCAGUAAUCUGAACAGGAGGCGCGGCGGCGGCGGGAGAUAGCAACGCAGCAGCAGCGGCAGCGACGGCAGUGGGGCUGGGAGGGCAGUAGCUCAACAGCAGGCGCGGCGGCGGCGGGAAAUAGCAACGCAGCAGCAGCGGCAGCAACGGAGGUGGGGCUGGGAGGUGCAGUAGCCUAAACGGCAGGCACGGCGGCGGCGGGAAUUAGCAACGCAGCAGCAGUGGCAGCGACGGCAGUGGGGUUGGGAGGUGCAGUAGCCUACACGGCAGGCGUGGCGGUGGCGGGAAAUAGCAACAGCAGCAGGCGCGGCGGCGGCAGGAUUUAGCAAAGGAGUAGCAGCGGCAACGAUGAAGGUGGGGCUGGGAGGUGCUGUAGCCUAAAUCGCAGGCGCGGCGGUGGCGGGAAAUAGCGAUGCAGCAGCAGCGGCAGCGAUGGCGUUGGGGCUGGGAGGUGCAGUAGCUAAAAUGGCAGGCGCGGCGGCGGCGGGAAAUAGCAACACAGCAGCAGUGGCAGCGACGGCGUUGGGGCUGGGAGAUGCAGUAGCAUAAACAGCAGGCACGGCGGCGGCGGGAAUUAGCAACGCAGCAGCAGUGGCAGCGACGGCAGUGGGGUUGGGAGGUGCAGUAGCCUACACGGCAGGCGUGGCGGUGGCGGGAAAUAGCAACAGCAGCAGGCGCGGCGGCGGCAGGAUUUAGCAAAGGAGUAGCAGCGGCAACGAUGAAGGUGGGGCUGGGAGGUGCUGUAGCCUAAAUCGCAGGCGCGGCGGUGGCAGGAAAUAGCGAUGCAGCAGCAGCGGCAGCGACGGCGUUGGGGCUGGGAGGUGCAGUAGCCUAAAUGGCAGGUGUGGCGGCGGCAGGAAAUUGCAACACAGCAGCAGUGGCAGCGAUGGUCUUGGGGCUGGGAGGUGCAGUAGCUAAAAUAGCAGGCACGGCGGCGGCGGGAAUUAGCAACCGAGUAGCAGCGGCAGCGACGGCGUUGGGGCUGGGAGGUGCAUUAGGGAGGGCCUUUAUUUUAUAAAAAUGGGCCACAUCCAAUUGGCCAUCCAAUCUUUUCUCUUUUCACUCUCUUCCAAGUGAUGUAGCCACAGAGAACAUACAAACACUAUUUUGGUAUUGCUGUGGCUGCCAGUUCAACUCUGGCAUGGAAGUCAUUUUUCUUUCUCUGACUAUAUACCUACUACUAUUAUACUAAAGGGUAUUACCAGUACUACUAUAUACAUAAAAGUAGUAGUAGUAGUAGUAGUAGUAGCAGCACAUACAAUAAAUCGCAAGUGUGAUCCAGGGAUGCCAUUUCGUGAAACAAAAUUUUCAAAAUUCUCGCCAGUCCAGAAAUGCAAGUCCAGCAGGCGCGGCAGCGGCGGGAAAUAGCAACGCAGCAGCAGUGGCAGCGACGGCAGUGGGGUUGGGAGGUGCAGUAGCCUAAACGGCAGGCGUGGCGGCGGCGGGAAUUAGCAACGCAGCAGCAGUGGCAGCGACGGCGGUGGGGUUGGAGGUGCAGUAGCCUAAACGGCAGGCGCGGCGGCGGUGGGAAUAAGCAACGCAGCAGCAGUGGCAGCGAUGAAGUGGGGUUGGAAGGUGCAGUAGCCUACACGGCAGGCGUGGCGGUGGCGGGAAAUAGCAACAGCAGCAGGCGCGGCGGCGGCAGGAUUUAGCAAAGGAGUAGCAGCGGCCACGAUGAAGGUGGGGCUGGGAGGUGCUGUAGCCUAAAUCGCAGGCGCGGCGGUGGCAGGAAAUAGCGAUGCAGCAGCAGCGGCAGCGACGGUGUUGGGGCUGGGAGGUGCAGUAGCUAAAAUGGCAGGCGCGGCGGCGGCGGGAAAUAGCAACACAGCAGCAGCGGCAGCGACGGCGUUGGGGCUGGGAGAUGCAGUAGCCUAAACGGCAGGCACGGCGGCGGCGGGAAUUAGCAACGCAGCAGCAGUGGCAGCGAUGGCGGUGGGGUUGGGAGGUGCAGUAGCCUAAACGGCAGGCGCGGCGGCGGCGGGAAUUAGCAACGGAGUAGCAGCAGCAGCGACGGCGGUGGGGCUGGCAGGGCCAUUAGUCUCAACAGCAGGCGCGGCGGCAGGGGGAAAUAGCAACCGCAGCAGGCGCGGUGGGGGGGGGAAAUAGCAACGGAGUAGCAGCGGCAGCGACAGCAUUGGGGCUGGGAGGUGCAGUAGCCUAAACAGCAGGUGUGGCGGCAGCGGGAAAUAGCAACACAGCAGCAGCGGCAGUGAUGGCGGUGGGGUUGGGAGGUGCAGUAGCCUAAGCGGCAGGCGCGGCGGCGGCGGGAAAUAGCAACGGAGUAGCAACGGCAGCGAGGGCGGUGGGGCUGGGAGAUGCAGUAGCCUAAACGGCAGGCAUGGCGGCGGGGGGAAAUAGCAACAGCAGCAGGCGCGGCGGCGGCGGGAAUUAGCAACGGAGUAGCAGCGGCAGCAACGGUGGUGGGGCUGGGAGGUGCAUUAGGGAGGGCCUUUAUUUUACAAAAAUGGGCCACAUCCAAUUGGCCAUCCAAUCUUUUCUCUCUUCACUCUCUUCCAAGUGAUGUAGCCACAGAGAACAUACAAACACUAUUUUGGUAUUGCUGUGGCUGCCAGUUCAACUCUGGCAUGGAAGUCAUUUUUCUUUCUCUGACUAUAUACCUACUACUAUUAUUGUUGUAGCGCGAUAGCUACACAGUAAUGAUGAGCUUAUCAAGAAAUAUGCGAAUCAAUUAUGAACAUGAAAUCUUCUGAAAACUGACCUGGCUGUCAAGAAUCGUUUGUAAGAAUUCACUGGAACUGAACAUCAUGAAUCUGUACGACAGCCUUACCGAAAUCCAUAAAUCUACUGAAAUCGUCUUUGCUCACAGAACGGACGUGGGUUCUUUUAGAAUUCAUAUUCUACUCACGUUCGGAGCGCGGUCUUAUACCGUGGUCGGGGCAGUGCCGGCCUGAGACAUACUUCACGGGCCAGUAGCACUGCACUACACUACAACAUCUUUUGGUGUCUCAGUAGCGCAUUGCUAUUAAUAUAUUAUUCUCUAAGUAGUUGGCUUAAUUUAGCGUACCAGCCGCCUCCCUCACUGAAGGGCGGCUGACCAUUGACUUCUGAGGCGGAUGUUCUCUGGACCACCGCGCACUCCCAACGAAGUUCUGUUACAAGCCCUACUUGCUGGACUUCGUCUUUCUGCUCAAGGUUGGCGGCUUUGAACGCGACUUCCUGUCGUUCCGCCAUGGAUCCGCCAACGAACACUGAUUCAAUGAAUGUAGAUGAAGUCGCUGUACCGCCACCGAACCCAUCGAACCCACCGAACCUUCCGAACCCACCGACUCAAGCGAAUCCACAACGAACCACCGAACCGGCUAGGGAUGCUGGCGGCUCCGCCGGUCCAUCCCGUGGCGAACACGAAUUGGUGGAGCUGAAACUCCAAUUAGUCCAAGCUGAAAUCGAACUCGCCAAAAUCAAGAACUCUGGAGCUGGCCCGUCAACCGCACCAGUUCCGGUGGUGAGUCCUGUUACUACGAAUCUUGUGCAUACCGAACCCCGAUUCAUGUUCCGAAUUGAACCACCGCAGCCAAGCAAGUCCAAUAGUCUUGAAAUGUUUGCCAACGAUUUUCAAGACUGGGUCGCCAAGUAUACACCGAACAACACCGAUGACGCCUUGUGGCAACUGCGUCACGCGAUGCGCGAAUACCCACCUGGCGCUCUGGACUNNNNNNNNNNNNNNNNNNNNNNNNNNNNNNNNNNNNNNNNNNNNNNNNNNNNNNNNNNNNNNNNNNNNNNNNNNNNNNNNNNNNNNNNNNNNNNNNNNNNNNNNNNNNNNNNNNNNNNNNNNNNNNNNNNNNNNNNNNNNNNNNNNNNNNNNNNNNNNNNNNNNNNNNNNNNNNNNNNNNNNNNNNNNNNNNNNNNNNNNNNNNNNNNNNNNNNNNNNNNNNNNNNNNNNNNNNNNNNNNNNNGAAUUGGGAGAAGUACAUUGGAUGCAGCAAGGGAAGUGUUACCGUUGCGGCGUUCAGAACGACCACAUCAGCUCGCGCUGUCCGAAUCCGCUGGUAACACCGGAGAUGUUUCGCCAGCCAGAGAACCCAUAGGAGUUUGCCCAGUCGUUUUCGUGUGGCACGCGUACUGGGGACAUGAAUUCGCAUGAUUUCCGAAUUAUUGAUUAUGAGUUGUUGCGACAACUAGAGCGUCGAAUUGGACGAACGUUUUCUUUGGACGCUGCUGCGAACGAUGAUGGAAGUAAUUCUGUCUGUAAGAUGUUUGCUUCACCGACUCGCUCCUUUCUCAAUUCCGAUUGCUCUGGCCACACUAUCUGGAUGAAUCCUCCCACGAAACUGUUAUCCGAUUUCCUCCGUCAUUACCACCGUUGCAAGAGUUAUGAUCCUAGCAUAUCCUCUUGUAUUUUGAUUCCAACCGAACAGAAACGAAUACGUCCCUAUCUGAAAGACAUGACACGACUUAUGAUUUUACCGUCCGGAACUCAGUUGUACCGUUCAUAUCGGGUUGGUUGUCCAGAUCCCCCGCCUGAAACGAGCACUUAUGAAAUUUGGUGGGAUCCACCUAAAGGAAAACCGAUUGAGCCGAAAUGUUCUAUAACCGAAACCGAUAAUCAGUUGCAUUUAUUUGCUGGACGCCUUGGUGCUAAUGCUGUACAAGUUCUUCCGGACACUGGCGCUACGCACUGCUUCAUUUCCCAGCUCAUGGCUACCAAACUUGGCUUGCGGAUCUUGCCUACACCGCUUGCUCCAGUGCGCCUAGCCGACCAGUCGACCGUACCUAUUCUUGGUGAGUGUCGAGCUCGUUUGCGCCUUGGUAGUUUUGGUACCGAUAUCCGUUUGCUCGUUUUACCGGCUUUGACUGUAUCGGCGGAUGUGAUCCUUGGCACGAACUUCUUAACCCGUUAUGAUGCGCAAUUAAGGCCUGCGCAUAGCGAACUGAGUUUAUUACGGCCAAACGGUGCGCGAUGUACGUUGCGAGCGAUGCACGCCCCGUCUUCUUCUGUUUCCGAAUCACCGAAACCCGAAUUUCUGUUGUUGGAAAGAGCGCCAGCUCGCACGUCUGUGGUAUCCGCGGAGCGCGCGUUUAGAGACCUUUUCGAGUCGCCCGGCUCGCGUGGGUUGCUGGUUGUCGUGAAACCGUUAACCGAAUCUACCGCACAUCCUCCGACCAGCCCCAUUCCUCAGGUCAAUUCUCUCGAACUUCCACCUGAAAUCGAAACGAACCGAACCUUAGCAACAAUCUUGCAUAAAUAUGCGGAUGUGUUUGCUCCGAUUUCCGGGCUACCUCCUGACCGUGGGGUACAUCAUACAAUACCGUUAGAGCCAGAUGCACAACCGAUUUACCGUCCUCAGUACCGUUUGACACCGUUGGAAAAGGAAGAAGUUGAAAAGCAGGUCAAGGACUUGCUGGCUAAAGGGUUUAUUCAGCCCUCAACAUCUCCUUUUGGUGCGCCAAUUCUCUUUGUGACCAAGAAGACCGGUGAACUCCGUAUGUGUAUCGAUUACCGAGCCCUAAAUCGAUUAACGAUUAAGAACAAAUAUCCGUUACCACGAAUUGACGAUACGCUAGACCGGUUAGCGGGAGCACGAAUCUUUUCUGCUCUUGACUUGGCUUCUGGUUAUCAUCAACUCCGAAUUCACCCGGAUGACGUCCCGAAAUCUGCUUUUAAUACACCGUUGGGACAUUUCGAGUGGUUGGUGUUGCCUUUUGGGCUUUCCAAUGCUCCUGCGACGUUUCAAGCAACCAUGAACCGGAUUUUCGCACCGUAUAUGCACCGAUUUGUCACUGUAUAUCUGGAUGAUAUUCUGAUCUUUUCGAAAACUCCGGAAGAACACGCUGAGCAUUUGCGUUUGGUUCUUGAAACGCUCCGAAAACACCAACUGCACGCGAAACUUUCGAAAUGUGAAUUCUGGAAAACCGACGUCAAGUACCUUGGUCACAUCGUAGGCUCUGCUGGUAUCCGAAUGGACCCGAAUAAGGUGGACACGAUCCGAAAUUGGCCACAACCUAAGGACCUAAGUGAGCUGCGCGCCUUCGUUGGCCUUGCGAAUUAUUUCCGACGAUUUAUCCGAAAUUUUGCGUCCUUGGCCGCGCCACUUACGGACCUCUUUGGCAAACCGCGCCUCCCGGAUGAAUGGCCACCUCAGGCGCUGGCCGCAUUUCAAUCCAUUAAAGAAUGCCUGUCCACCGAUGUCUUACUGCAUUAUCCGAACUUCUCGAAACCGUUUGAGCUUGUUUCCGACGCAUCGCUCAAUGGAACCGGUGCCGUACUGUUGCAAGAUGGUCGUCCGAUUGCUUUCACGAGUAAGAAAUUUUCCGCUGCCGAACGCAACUACUCUACCGGUGAACAAGAACUGUUGGGCGUUGUGAAUGCUUUACGCGAGUGGCGAUGUUACUUGCAAAGCAACAUCCCAUUCACCCUCGUUACCGAUCAUCAUCCGCUUACGUAUCUGAAAACGCAAGCUCAUCUGANNNNNNNNNNNNNNNNNNNNNNNNNNNNNNNNNNNNNNNNNNNNNNNNNNNNNNNNNNNNNNNNNNNNNNNNNNNNNNNNNNNNNNNNNNNNNNNNNNNNNNNNNNNNNNNNNNNNNNNNNNNNNNNNNNCAACCGGCUUCUGGUUUACCGGCAGGUGAAUUACAUCCACUACCGAUCCCUGAUAUGCCUUGGGAAAGUAUUUCCAUGGACUUUAUUGUGGGACUUCCGAAAACCAAACGCCAGCACGAUGCUAUUCUGGUGUUUGUGGAUCGCCUUACGAAAAUGGUACAUCUUGCUCCUUGCCGUACUACCGCUAACGCCGAACAAUGUGCUGACAUGAUGUUUCAUCACGUCGUGAGACUUCAUGGAAUGCCACAAAAGAUUAUUUCCGACCGUGACCCGAGAUUUAAGAAUCUGUUUCUACCGGCUUUGCUCAAUCGAGCUGGUGCAAAACAAAACACGAGUACCGCUUUUCACCCUGAAACCGAUGGACAAACCGAACGAAUCAACCGAAUCCUUGGAGACAUGUUAAGACAAUACGUUUCCACUGACACUGAACAAUGGGAUCGUUAUCUCGAUGCCGCUGAAUUCGCGAUUAACAAUCUGCGAAACCGAACCACGGGUCAGUCACCUUUCUUUCUGAAUUACGGUUUCCACCCGCGAACGCCUCUACAGUUGGAACUUGCUGAUACCGUUCCCGCUGCUAAGGUGUACGUGGAUACGUUUCACGAACGACUGAAACUUGCGAAACGAUUCUAUCAGUCUGCGCAAGACCGAGCUGUACAACAGGAGAGUAAGAAACGACGUACCGUAACCCUCCAUGUUGGACAACAGGUAUUACUGAGUACGAAAAAUCUGUCUAUACAGAAAGGCACACGAAAACUGAUGCCCCGUUGGAUUGGACCUUUUCCGAUUACUGAAAUGAUUAAUUCCGUUACUUUCCGUUUGGAAUUGCCUCCUGAAUACCGAUUCCACGAUGUGUUUCAUGUGUCCUUACUCCGACCCUACUGUGCUGACGUCCCUGAUGGACCUGUUCAGCCUCCGAAAGCUUUGGAAUUUGACCCUGUCACUUCCAAGCCUGUCUGGACGAUUGAACGAAUUCUGAAGCAUGAAACCCGUAAACUGAGAAAACGAACCUUAUACCGAUUUCUGGUCAAAUGGAAAGGACAUACUGAUGAGAACAAUACGUGGCUUGAUUCUACCGAUAUUUCCGAUCGAAAUCUGAUUACUGAGUACUGGAAAGCUCACCCGGAACACAGCGAGGACGCUGGUUCCUGGGGGGAGUAGGCAGCUGUUGUAGCGCGAUAGCUACACAGUAAUGAUGAGCUUAUCAAGAAAUAUGCGAAUCAAUUAUGAACAUGAAAUCUUCUGAAAACUGACCUGGCUGUCAAGAAUCGUUUGUAAGAAUUCACUGGAACUGAACAUCAUGAAUCUGUACGACAGCCUUACCGAAAUCCAUAAAUCUACUGAAAUCGUCUUUGCUCACAGAACGGACGUGGGUUCUUUUAGAAUUCAUAUUCUACUCACGUUCGGAGCGCGGUCUUAUACCGUGGUCGGGGCAGUGCCGGCCUGAGACAUACUUCACGGGCCAGUAGCACUGCACUACACUACAACAAUUAUACUAAAGGGUAGUACCAGUACUACUAUAUACAUAAAAGUAGUAGUAGUAGUAGUAGUAGUAGUAGUAGUAGUAGUAGUAGUAGCAGCACAUACAAUAAAUCGCAAGUGUGAUCCAGGGAUGCCAUUUCGUGAAACAAAAUUUUCAAAAUUCUCGCCAGUCCAGAAAUGCAAGUCCAGCAGGCGCGGCAGCGGCGGGAAAUAGCAACGCAGCAGCAGUGGCAGCGACGGCAGUGGGGUUGGGAGGUGCAGUAGCCUAAACGGCAGGCGUGGCGGCGGCGGGAAUUAGCAACGCAGCAGCAGUGGCAGCGACGGCGGUGGGGUUGGAGGUGCAGUAGCCUAAACGGCAGGCGCGGCGGCGGUGGGAAUUAGCAACGCAGCAGCAGUGGCAGCGAUGAAGGUGGGGUUGGAAGGUGCAGUAGCCUAAACGGCAGGCGUGGUGGGGGGGGAAUUAGCAAGAGCAGCAGGCGCGGCGGCUGGGGGAAUUAGCAACGGAGUAGCAGCGGCAGCGAUUGCGUUGGGGCUGGGAGGUGCAGUAGCCUAAAUGGCAGGCACGGCGGUGGCGGGAAUUAGCAACGGAGUAGCAACGGCAGCGACGGUGGUGGGGCUGGGAG
RNAcentral lists this long non-coding RNA (9188 nucleotides) under Volvox carteri. RNAcentral's name for it is "long non-coding RNA (VCAR_LNC003666)". Lineage: Eukaryota; Viridiplantae; Chlorophyta; Chlorophyceae; Chlamydomonadales; Volvocaceae. The record is from RNAcentral.